GAUGGACGCUAGCGGCAGGCUUAACACAUGCAAGUCGAGGGGUAUGGUUCUUCGGAACCAGAGACCGGCGCACGGGUGCGUAACGCGUAUGCAAUCUACCUUUUACAGAGGGAUAGCCCAGAGAAAUUUGGAUUAAUACCUCAUAGUAUAACAUGACCGCAUGGUCGAGUUAUUAAAGUCACAACGGUAAAAGAUGAGCA
This 200-nucleotide ribosomal RNA is filed under the name uncultured bacterium. Its description in RNAcentral is "partial 16S ribosomal RNA". It matches the Rfam family "Bacterial small subunit ribosomal RNA", at positions 28 to 231 of the family's 1533-position model. The record is from RNAcentral.